AAUACUCAUCUUGCCUGUGACAUGUAGAGAGCCAGUAGGAGAGAUAAAGGGAGGUGGGAGAGAGAGAGAUGGCCAUCUUCAAUGCUAUCAUUUGAGUUUCUGGAUACAGCUAUCCUGAAGAUGAGGAAGCUGAAGUGCAAAGACAAGAGAAGCUUUCUGGACCAGGAAAUGGCAUGUGGGAAAGGACACACUCCUGGGAAAGUAGGUUGUGUUGAUGGACAAUGGGGAGGGGCUCCUUUGAAAGGUGUGGGGAAGUAACCUGCUCAGAUUGUUUUUAGGAGAAUGACAGCACAGUGGUGGAGGAGCCAGACUGAGAAGGAACAAAAGGCCAGCAACAAAAAUAAGGCUCCCUUCCAACUUCCAAUCACCACGUGCUCCUGUCAUCUCCCUACCCCACCCUGCAUCAGCUCCCAGGAAGGGAGCUGAAACUCAGGCCUGCUUCUGUGGGCACCAAAACCUGACUUAGUACGUGAUCCUCCCUUCCAUCCUCAUCCCCAUAGAUGGGCAUGGAGAAUUAGUCCGCAGAUCAAAGCCAAAGGGUGUUGUCUCAUGGCACUGAGGUGGGGGUAACCCUUAUGACUCCCAUAGGAAGCCCUAUGGAAGGGGACAAAAGCCCCCAAGGCUGAACCUACCCAGGAGAGCCAGGGCUCUGCUGUGACAUACUGUGGCCACACAGAGGAAGAGUCCUUGCCUUUCUGGGUUGGCUUCUGCUUUCUUGAAUGAUCUUCAUUUGCAUCCUUUCCUCUUGAAUAAUCCUCCCUUCACCAAAUCUAUCUAUCUACCUCCUGCAGCUUGUGUCCACUCCAAACACAGUUGACAAGAAGUCUUGGCAACACAGCCUAAAGAAACACUAAGCAAAUUGUUCCUUGUCGUCCUGACCUUUGUAAGCCAAGAGCUCUACUUUAUAACUUGGGAACGCACAAAUAUUUACAGUUGUAGGGAAGGGAGCCAAUGGCUGCUGGAGGGUCCUAGAAUUGGAAGGGAGCUGAGAGCUUGUCUAGCCCAGCCUCAUAUUCACUAUAGGAAUGCCCUCCACAGAGCCCUUGGCAGUGGUCACCCAGCCUCCCCUUCCUGGUCCCUGUGAUGGGAAGGAAGGUCAUCUUCCUCUGAGAAAGUGCUUUCUGUUGAUCUUAUCGUUGGAAAGUUUUUCUGACAUUGAGCCAGAACUGCCUCCCAGUAACUUUGCCCUUGGUUUUGGAUGGGUCUCUAGGGCCUCACAGCUUGGGUAUCUUCUUUCCCACGACAGCACGUUAAAGGCUAGAACUCAGCCUCCCUGUCUGCCUUCCGUUGUCUGUUCUUCCUCAGUUCCUUUGUUCUUUUCUUGGGGGCCUUCAUUCAUUGGUCCCUCAUCACUGGGGUCACCUUUCCUUGCCAUGUCCAACACAUCCUAGUUGGUCAAUGUCUGUCUUAACAUACGAUACCCCCAAAUUCAUCACAGCACUACAGUUGAAUUGCUUUCUAAGAUCUGAGCCCUGUGCCAUUAAUUCCUCAUCUCUAAAACUCAGCUUAGCUAUCCAGGCCAUGUAAGCCAGAGAAGAGGGAAGGAAUGAAGUCUUCUUGAACCCCUGCAAUGCUAGCCAAGUUCUUUCUAAACACUCAGGGCUCAGAACUGCCCCAGGAAGUAGAUACUCUCCUCUUUGUUUCACAUAUGGAGGAACCUGGUUUUCUGACAUAGAACUGAAAAUAAGGAAGUAAGCAAAACAAGUCUUUAAGGACGCUGAGCAGAGGCCAGAAAGUCACCCGGAGUCUAUUAUUUACUCUUCCUUUACAUUCAUUUCUGCCAAGAUUUUAUUUAGUAUCAGGAGAACUGAUUUUAAAUCCUGGCUCAGCCACUUUCUAGCUGUGUGACCUCAGGAAAGUUAGUGUCUAAGGUGACUAACCAAUCCCAAAUUGCCCUGGUCUGUCCUGGUUUUAAAACCGCAAAUCCCAUGUCCUAGGAGAUCACUCCAUUCUGGGCAAAUUAGCACAUGUUGGUCACCCUAUUCAGUCAAUUUUCUCUUUGUGAUAUCAGGAUAACAGUAACCCACCUCACGAGGUUGUUAUAAUUUUAACUGAGAUAAUAUAUUUGGAAGACCUGGCAAUGUGCCUGGCACAUAGCAGAUACACAAUUAAUGUUCUGUUUAAUUUGAAAGCCUAGUUAAUUAUGACAAAUUAGAAAGAAGUCAAAGACUGAGAGGUGGCCAUGAGCAGUUUAACUGGAAAACCAUUUUUAAAAACACCUAGAAACAUAAACGGAGACACAUAGUAGAGGGUCGUACCGUGAGGGUCUCAAUGUCCUCUGUACUGUGAAUAUCUCACUGGAGUUCAAUGAGCCAUGGUAAUUGUCGUCCUUGAGUGGGACUCCGCAGGACAGAGGAAUAACUAAAUCUUCUGCAUUAUACUAUGUGUGAUAAGGCAGGGUAAGGUGGGAUACAUUGUGGAGUAAGUGCCACAUGAAAUUUAAUGAAGUCUUUAGAUCUUUAAGCGUAAGUAUUCAACCCUCUAACAGGAUGGCAACCAACCAGCAUGGCAGAGGGAAGGAGGACUGAAGAGGGUCCCAGGAGAGCCUGAGUCUGCAGUCAGCUCACUGCCUAACUAUAGACAGAUUGUCCUCACAGUUCCGGUCCUGUCUCCUCAUCUGUGAAAUGGGGAAGAGAAAGUAGACAAGGUGUUGUCUAACAGAAAGGCAACAGAGUGGGGUGGUCAAGAGCACGGAUCCACCACCCACUAGCUGUGUGAGCUAGGACAAGCAAGCAAAUCCACCCUCUGCACCCUGCUCUCCUGGCCUGUAACCUCGUAGAGAUGUUGUGAAGAUUUUAUGAACUGAUGUACUUCCUGGUGCAUGUUGAGUUCUCAGUAAGGAUCAGUUCUUAAAGUUAGUAUCCCUUCUGGGUAUCGCACUCCAUGACAAAGAGUAUCAUCUCUUUCUCUCCCCUCAUCACCAAGGGUUAAUGCAACAUAAGCUUUCGCUUGAGUGUUUUGUAAGUUUCUUUUCCCUCCCCAGCCCGCCACAUCACUCAGCUGGCUCACGUUGAACUUGAGGCAGACUAAAACCUCCUGAUCUUUUUUUAUGUGAAUUGCAGUCCAGCCAGGUUGCUCUCAUCCUGUUCUUGUGCAACUGAUUUUUGGAAACUACAUUCAAGACAUUAGAUUUAUUGAUGCUACAUUUCAUCUGGUUGCUUUUGACCCAGCAUUCUUGACUGUCGAGAUCAUCUUGAACCUUAAUUCUCUCAUCCCCUCCAGCUUUGAGUCAUCUGCAAAUUUAAUGCAUAUGCUUUCCAUAUCUUCAGAUCACGGGCUUAAAAAAGCUAUUUUACAGAUAAAAAUAAAGAUAGAGAUAUAGGCCACUAGAUAGAUCAAGAGGGAUCUUGUAUGCCAGGCUGAGCAGUGGGGAUUUUAUCUUGUGGGAAGCAGGGGCUCUUGAUCCUCAAUCAGUUUUUAAGCCUUUUCUGAACAUACCCACUACAGACGCUCGUAUGUUGUCCCUGGAUCUCAGAGUGUUUUCACUGAUGACAACAAGAGUUCACCCCUCAGCCACCCUAACUGUGGCCUCUUCUAAACUACUGAACUCACCGCGAAGGUCUGAAUCCCUUCCUGUCUGUACCACAUGCAGCCCCAAGGCCCAGUCCUAUUCUCCUCCCUCUUGUUGCUUCCCAAACUGAGGCCACCCCUACUUUGGGGCCUAGCCAAAUACCUGUUAUCAAUCCAAGAAAUCAAUUCUCUCUCGUUGGUUCAGGAAGGCAUGGACCAUGAUGACUUUAUGUGCUUCCCACUCACGUUUCCAUUUUUACAGGGGACUUCAGUGUCUGAACUGGAAGGCCAGAGCUGUGGUGGAUCUGCUGGUAGCCACCUAUAGCUGUCUGGAUCUCUGCACUGCCCAGGGCACCACGGGCAUGUUAUAUCACAGCACAGUGCAACCAGCUGGUUCCUGGGCAUGACUACAAGUCGUUAUGAAAAGGCUGAGGACAAGAUGAUAGGGAAAUGUGAAAAGGAAAAUUCUAGAAGUAAUUUUCAUAUAAAUUAAUUUAAAUAACAAAAAAAACAAACAUUUAAGUUUCUCCAGGUAAUCUGGCAACUCUCUGGUACUGUGCUAACCAGGCAACCAUUGGUUAGGGAGCUUCCAAAACUCCGUGUCCACUCCAGGCCCCGCUCCAGCCAUCUGGCCAAGCACACUCAGCUUCAGGACACAAUGAGCAUAGCCAGUCCCUCUUUGAUGUCCUUGGUACCAGAACCUUCCCAUUUUACCCCACAGGACUCCCAGGAUUCCUUUCUAGGGAAGAGUUUGAUGAUGAUGAUGGUGAAGAUGGUAAAGAAGAGCAGUUACCCCUGAUUGAGUGCCUUCUGUGUGCCAGGCAUUGUGCCAGAGCCUCUAAACAAACCAUCUCUAAUCUUUUCAACCUUACGAAGCAUAUUUUUUGUGAUUCCCAUUUUAUAGAGGAGUAAACGGAGGCCCACAGAGAUUAUAGUAACUUGCCUGUGUCCACAAGAAAUAGCAGAACUGGAAUUUGAACUCUGGGUUUCUCUGAUUCCAAAGUCCACUGUAUCCACCACCCUGUUUCUGUAGCUUUCCAAAAGCUCCCACUGUUAUUUUCUCUUUUGACCCAAACAGUCUUACGGGGGUGAUAGGAAGCUGAGAUGAGCAGAACUCUGCCCGUUGCCGAGGCAAAGUGCAGUCAGUAGGCUCACAGGCUCACUGGGGUGGAACUGGACCUGGUACCAGCCUUCUGACUUGUAAUGCAAUGCAAUUUAUCCCUGUGUUGAUAUCCUGAUCGUUGGAAGGGAGCCCAAGGAUGGCUGGGUGGGGAAGCUUUUGCUUUUGGGAAGGUAGCGGUAGCAGGUGGUGUUAAAGGGAAACUGUAGUAAUUGUAUGAUGGCUAAGCAUGGAGGCUCUGGAAUUAGAAAGUACCAGGUUCCAAGGGGCUCCAGCCUCUACUACCUGUGUGAAGUUGGGUAGAUUAUAUUACCAUCGUGAGCUGCCAUUUACAAAUGGGUUAAUGAGAGCUCUUCAGUGAAAUACUGAGUUGAGAGAGAGAAUUUACACAAAGCCAUCGGCACGGUCCAGGCACAUUUCCAGUGCCUAACACACAUCGGCUCGGAUUACCAUUUCUUUUUUUUUUUUGAGGCAGAGUCCUAGUCUGUCACCCAGGCUGGAAUGCAGUGGCACGAUCUCAGCUCACUGUAACCUCCACCUCCCAGGUUCAAGCAAUUCUCCUGCCUCAGCCUCCCUAGUAGCUGGGAUUACAGGUGCCUGUCACCAUGUCCGGCUAAUUUUUGUAUUUUUAGUAAAGACAGGGUUUCACCAGGUUGUCCAGGCGGGUCUUGAACUCCUGACCUCAAGUGAUUCACCCUUCUUGGCCUCCCAAAGUGCUGGGAUUGCAGGCAUGAGCCACCGUGCCCAGCCUAUCGCUAUUUUUCUUACCUCUGUCGUUACAGCAAUCUACAUUCGUAAAUGUUUUCAUAAGUGCCCUUGACUUGCUCAUCCUACGUGGAGGCAUUAUGUCCCCAUUCUACAGACUGGGCAACUGGGCACUGAAGCUACCUGCCCAAGGUGAUCCAGGAAGGACUGAGCAGAGCUAAGCCUUGAGCUCCUGACCCCACGGUGAGCUCCCAUCCCCAGCAUGCUGCAGCUGUUCAUCUUUCCUGGGUCCAGUUUCACAUUUCCAGCAUUUCUCAAAUGUUAAUAUGUGUCUCCAUUACCGGAGAUCUUGUUCACAUGCAGGUUCUCAUUAAGGAGGGCUAGGCGGGCCUGAGGCUCUGCAUUUCUGGCAGUCCUCCGAGGGAAGUCAAAGCCGCUGGUCAUGGGGCCUCACUGUGGUUGAGGGUCUCCUUCAGCUGGUAGGGGUCCCUUGAGCAGGCUCAGAGAAACAAACGGCAAGCCCUGCGGCCCCUGGGACUGGGACCUGCAGGAGCCCUUAAAGUUAGCUUCUAAGUGUGGCCCCCAUAGGAUGAUACUAAGGAGAUAUGGGAUUUGGGAGCCACCUCCUAGCAGGGUUGCCAGGGCCGGCCCUGCCCUCUUGCUCACCAUCUCCUUCUGCUUCCUUCUGACUGCUUCCAUGGGAGCCUGACAACUACAGCAAAGCAUUCUUGAACUCCCACGCUGAGCAGGAGCUACAUGACCGGGUGAGUGUGGGCAGCCUGCAGAGAAGGAGCUGACAUUUGUCUUAAUUGGAGUUACCAUGUAAAUCCCACCUGUCUCCUCCUGGUGCCCAUGGCCUUUGAUGGGCAGGGAAGGGGGCUCUGAACAGAGAGAGGCUCAUAAUGUCCCUGGGGAUACAAGGCGUUAUUAAUGUAGGCUCUGGAAGGAGAUGUUCCCACUUGUCAGCAGGGAAAAUGAGCUGGAAUUGAGUUUAAAAAAAAAAAAGAGAGAGAGAGAAAGAAAGAAAAAGAACACAGGCAUCUAGGCAAGAAGAGUGGCAGAACUCCCCCCAGGGCAGAUACCCUUCUGCCCCUCCCAUGGGUCACCCCUGUCUUUCAAAACCAGCCUCUAACCCAGAGGUUUUCAAACUCAGCUACCAAUCGUCACCUGGGAGCUGUAACAAUUGCUGAUGUCUCUGCCCCAGCCCCAGAUAUCUUUAUUUCAUUGGCCUGGGGUGUGGCCUAUGGAAAUUGGGGUUUUUAAGCUCCCAAGUGAUUCUAUGUGCAGUGGGGUUGCAAAACUGCAGGUUGAAUCUUAGCUUCUCCAGGAAGCCACCUCUGAUUAGCUGAUGCUAAUCUAUGAGCCCAGUGGAACUGUCACCUUUUCUAAUCAGCCAGCCCUGAUGUAUCCAUACAAUUGGAGGGGGAUGGGGUGAAAUAACCCCCAUUAGUGUGAAUUGGUUGAAGAGGACACAGAAGGAUGUAGGAUGUACCUUCUCAUUUCUCUGAGCUUAACUUCCAAAUGAACAAGCAUUUGCAGCUGCUGGACAGCCACAAAAUCAAUUCACUCAGUCAUUUAACCAACAUUCAUUGAGCACCUAUUAUGGAUAAAGAGCAAUGAGAGAUUCACAGCAUAUUUGAUAUAGUCUCUGUAAACCAAAAAUAAAAUUCUAAGUCCCCUAAAUGACGGAAUGGAGCCCCCCUCUUCACCAAGGAGACCCCAAAGAAACUUGAAAAACUAAUUUUGGGAAUGACAGGAAGCAGGGAUUGGACAUACCUCAUUGUAGCCCCCUCUUUUUGGAGUUUAGAUUCAGCUGACCAGCAUUAACAUGAAAACAGAAAUCUGAAGGCUGACAAAACAGACUCUUCAUAGCAAUGAGAUACUAAAUUCCAACCUGACUCUGGUCCCAUGACAAAUAGCAGGCCUUGAAGGAGAUAAAAGUAUUUUACCCCAAAAUAUAUUUCUUUGGCAUAUUUUGAAAUGGCCCCGCAAAGCUCUCUCUUGGGGAAAUUUGCAUUCUGUAGAAAAUCUCCUUCCCUCACUAGCUCUUUCAGGAGAGACUGACACCUGAUAACAGACAUUCACCAUCUUUUCUCUCUGAAUCCUGGAGGCUUCAUCUACAUGACAAGAACCUUGGCUUCACAAUCCUGCCUUAUCUAAACUCAAGGUCUCUUUAUGCUGAAUUCAACUCUUCAGGCAAGGCCUAACUCUCUCAGCCAAUUGCCAAUCAAGAAAUCUUUGAAACCGCCUAUGACCUGGAAGCCUACACUCACCCUACUUCGAGAUAUCCCACCUUUCUGGGCCAAUCAAUAUAUACCUUAUAUGUAUUGGUUUAUUUCUUUGCCUGUAACUUCUUCCGUCUCCUUAAAAUGUAUAAAACCAAGACGUGUUCUCAGGACCUCCUGAAAAUGUAUCAUGAGCCAUGGUCCUUAACCUUGGCAAAAUAAACCUCUCGAUUGAGACCUGUCUCAGAUACUUUCUGGUUUACAAUUCUGCACUUAACUAACUAAAGCCUAAUAAGGAUAGAAUAGGCAAGACCAUAAAUAACAACAACAAUUACAAAACCUGUAGGUGAUAGGCUGUGAGUUAGGGAAAUAAAGAGAUAAUGAAAAUGUAUCUCACACCUAGGAUGUGCAAGGCCAUUUCCGAGUCAACCUAUAUAUGCUACGUCAUUUCAUGUCAGUGACAGAGUCCCAUUUUUCAGAUAAAGGAGUUGAGACUCAGAGGAGCCAGUGGCUUGCUCAUGGUCACACAGCUGGUGCAUGUUGAAGCCUGACUCCAAAGGAGGCGUGAGAGCAUGCUGCCAUGGCAAGAUGAGGAAGGGAUGAGUUCAGUUGCAGGAAUCUGGAGAAACUUCAGGAGGACUCAGGGCUCACUACAAAAACAUGCCACCACCAAGGGGCCUCUCAUAGGAGGGCCCUGUAAGAGGACAUAGCCUCAGGGAAGAAGCAUGUUCCUGGUAAGGCUGAUAGUGGAAGGACAGCUCAGACGAACAGGGAGAGGAGUUGCUGAUUCUGAAGCAGGGAGUCUGGAAGACCAGGGAAGGGUUGGCAGGGAAGGUGUAGGAGGUGGGCUUUUAGAGGGCAUAGAAGUUCAGAGCAGGCAGGGGAGAGAUAGCAGAAGGGGGCAUAUACACCUUCAGUACUGACCAAUUCACACAGCGAUGAGAAGCAUGAGAGCCUGGCCACUGUGAGAAGGGCAGGCCCUGGCUCAGCAUACUUGGCUGAAGUGAAGAGGGCAGACUGCAGUCUGCAGACACAGGCCCUGGGUGAGGGUUGGUGCACAAACCACUCAAGAGAAACUUUGGGCAGGCUGGAUGAGCUGGGCUGCAGGGCAGGGACUCUGUUUUUGACACUGAUAUCUAUCAUCAGUUGGAUGUAAUAUUCAUAGUUUCUGAAUACCCAGCAUGGGGCAGGCAUGGGCCCAGGUGGUUUCUCUCUGACCUGGAAGAGAGACAAGUUUCUGUGAAGUUGAGAGAAUGUAAAUAAUCUCUAUUAGGAUGGUGGUAGUGGUGGCAGCAGUGGUGCUGGAGGUGGUGGGAAUAGCGGUGGUGGGGUGGGGUUGGUGGUGGUGAUGGUAUUAAUGGCAGAUGGUGGUGGAGGUAAGGGUGAUGGUGGUGGUAGUGGUCAUGAUGAGGGUGGUGGGGUGGUGAUGACGAUGGUGAUGAUGAUGGUGAUGGUAGUGAUCGUGAUAGUGGUAGUAGUUAUGCUUGAAUGACUGACACCAAAAUGGCUGCUACCUCUAGCCUCUCCCGUGAUUCAUACUUUCACCUCCCCCGUUGUCAUCUCCUGUUGUAUCAUGUAGGCCUAUCAGUCUUCUACACGCCUGCACUCAAGCCGUUGACCUCCUCUCUUUUCUCUUUGCCCUUCCUUUACUUUCAUCUGUAUUCCCUGGCUUGGGAAACAGCCCCUCUAGUCAGCCAGCCAGCCAGCCAACCAUCAGAGCUGAUGCCCAAGAGUCAAGCUACAUCCUCCAACUAUUCUUAUCCCCAACAGCCAGUUAAUUACCAAGUCCUGAUGCUUUGACCUCUUACUCACUUCUUGAGACCCAUAGUCUUCUCUCUGUCUUACCUGUUCUUGCUUUAUUUGGGACCACAUUACUUCCCCCCGACUAUGGGAAUACCAUCCUGACAGAACUGUGAGAUUCGACUGGCCUUUCUCCAGACCACCCUUCAUCUCAUCAUCAGAGGCAACCUACCCACAGGCAGAUCUGGCCAUGCCAUACCGAUGUCACACCCCAUCUCUGACUUGCAAGUGCAAGGUGGUCCCUAGGCUGCCAAGCUCCAGACCCAUGAAGCUGCAGCACUCUGCUCUAGCAUGACAGAUGCACAUAUCUUUUCUUUUGCUCAUACGAGUCUCUGUCUUGAAAACUUUUCUCCUCCUCUGACUGAUGGACUCCUGUCCGAUUCUUAUGAAGCUCUUCUGCUCCCCUACCCCAGCUGGCAGCAGUGGUGUCUCUCUCUUCUGUGCACUCUAUGCAAUUUCCGGUCUUGCUUAUUUCACUCUGUUUAUUCAUCUGCCUCCUUUGCUAUGCCAUGAACUUCACCAAGAAAAGGGAAAAGGGAGGUCUUGCCCAUCUCUGAAUCUUGAAGACUUAGCACAGGUGCAUACUUGGCACUUCCUGGAUUCAAGACCAGUAAUAUUAAUCCAGAUAACUGUGUGGUACCUGAAAUUAUGCAGAGAGCUGUAUCUCCACAUCAUCUCAUUUGAUUCUCAUCACUCUCAUGGAAAGUUGCAGGGGGCAUUUGCUUUGUUUCACUGAUGGGAACACUGACAUCCAGCAACAAAGGCAAAAUGACUUGCUCAAGGUUGCCCAGGGAGGUUGUGGCUGAGUCAGUCUUUGUCUCAGAUGUCCUGACUCUGUUGUUGGAAACGUGUUGAUUUCACACCAGAAGCUCAUUUUCUUUCUCUCUGAGAUGCUCUAUGGCUGAGAAGUGACCCAUGCACAUAGGGCCUGCCCACUCUCAGCAUGAAAUACCUGUGAUUGAGGAGGGAACAGGGGCUUUGAAUUCCUAGGUAAGGACAGAUAAGGAAGACAAGCAUCUAGAAGGCACAAAGCCAUAAGGAUGGAGAGAACUAGAGAAGAGAUAAGAGUCUUAUCACAAAAUUUUGGAACCUGGAAAGCAGGUAGACAAGUGGUAACAAACUUAGCAGGAGAAAUAAGGAUUCUUGAGCUGGCAUUGGGAAAAGCUGAGAACCAACUUGAUUUACACAGCAGAACCCUUAGAAGCCUCAGGAGCUGGCAGCGUCAGGUACUUCUGGAAGUGAGUGAAGGGAUGGGCCAAAAAUAAGGAUUUGUAAGUGAAAGCAAUUCAUUCAGAGGCUUUAGAACCCCAGAUCCCUGCCUCCACUGCAUACUGCUAGGCAACCACCCAGUCCGUACCAUGGCCAAAGCCUGGAGAUAAAGUGAAGUCUCUGCUCGGAGAUGAGGGGCAUGAGGCUCAGCUGAAAACAGGACGAGUAAGAGAACGUUUUCAUAGUUAAUGCUGAGGUCCCCUAGCCAUCUUCUCUCAUAAUCUCCCAGUAGGCUGCAUCUGGUUUUAUACCCUCUAGGAAAGACACUAGAAACCUCUUUUCUGGGGGGAACGGGCCCAGGAAGGAAGAGACACGAGGGUUCAAAAUUACACUCCUGCACAUCUUUUGUCGGGAAAACUCCUGAAGAACAUAGA
RNAcentral lists this long non-coding RNA (11003 nucleotides) under Homo sapiens (human). RNAcentral's name for it is "non-protein coding LINC02204:22". Lineage: Eukaryota; Metazoa; Chordata; Mammalia; Primates; Hominidae. The record is from RNAcentral.